This 119-nucleotide small nuclear RNA is filed under the name Oncorhynchus kisutch (coho salmon). RNAcentral's name for it is "U2 spliceosomal RNA (ENSOKIG00005044039.1)". It matches the Rfam family "U2 spliceosomal RNA". From Rfam's summary of the family: U2 is a small nuclear RNA (snRNA) component of the spliceosome (involved in pre-mRNA splicing). Complementary binding between U2 snRNA (in an area lying towards the 5' end but 3' to hairpin I) and the branchpoint sequence (BPS) of the intron results the bulging out of an unpaired adenosine, on the BPS, which initiates a nucleophilic attack at the intronic 5' splice site, thus starting the first of two transesterification reactions that mediate splicing. Lineage: Eukaryota; Metazoa; Chordata; Actinopteri; Salmoniformes; Salmonidae. The record is from Rfam by way of RNAcentral.
AUUGCUCGACGCUAGAGGUUAAAUAGAUUUUUGGAACAGGGAGAUGGAAUAGGGGCUUGCUCCGUCCACUCCACGCAUCGAACUGGUAUUGCAGUACCUCCAGGAUCGGUGCACCCCCU